GUGCAUCCUAGAGAAAACUCAACAGUUGCAGUUUGAAUCCUCGUUUGCUGACCAAUCUAGCAGUAGUGCGGCUUAGUGGCGAAUUAAAAACGGAAUAUGACUGGCGCAAUUCUUCUUGGGAAUCACAGCGACAUCACAACUCAGAACAAGGGAGGACCGCGAUAAGAUGGAGACAAUAGAAAGGCGAGGUCAUCUAUCCAAUUCCCCUGUUCCGACAACUAUAAGUGAAGCUGCGUCCAGCCACCCAAAAGUGCGACGUAGAGAUGGGUCACCUGUUGCAGUUUGAAUCCUCGUUUGCUGACUCAUUGGCAGUCGUGGCGGAUUCAAAACGGAAUGACUGACGCAAUUCUUCUUCAAUAAAGGAAUCACAGUGACAUCACUACUCAGAAC
Daphnia pulex (common water flea) is the source of this 390-nucleotide long non-coding RNA. RefSeq lists it as uncharacterized. NCBI's taxonomy places the organism in Eukaryota, Metazoa, Arthropoda, Branchiopoda, Diplostraca, Daphniidae. The record is from RefSeq and is a predicted model, not a curated record. The transcript has 3 exons.